GUGGGCCCUACAUAUCCUUUACACUGCUACAAAACACACACAAAAACGUUUCUUUUUAAGAAAUUUUCACACUUUGGAGUAUCUUUUAAAAGCAAAAGUAGUUUCAGCCAUUGAUGUCACCUUGAACUCUCGGCCAACUCUAAUUUUUUUUUUUUUUUUGGAGAUAAUUCAAGAUUCUGAUCAAGAAUUUUAAGAACUCAAGAGUGCAAGUGAGGCUUCCUUCCACUUAGGGAGAUUAAAUCCCAUUGUGUGCUGGUUUGGGAAGUUUUGUAGCUUAAGGAGAUUGAGGAAAGUUAUACAGGAGUUUGACUAUAGGAUGUUCCAGGCUAUCAACUGGAUUGGUAAACUCCAUUCUGUUCGGAGUGAUGCCGCGUCGGAUUAUUUCCUUAUGAGUUGAGUCAUAUGCAUUAUGGGUAUGUUGGGGCCCUGUCCCAACUUAGGUUUUGAUAUCAUAUCUUACCUUAGAGGCUUUUGCAGAUAGAGUCAUGUAUACAGUAUGCCAGUCUUGUAAGUGGCUAUUUAAGCCGAUGUAUCAUUAUGCAUUACUUUACAGAUUUCAUAUGAUUACAGAUUUUACUUGAUUUGAGAAAGACGAAAAGAAUGUUUUUGAAAAGCUUCCAUUAUGCAUUUCAUUUCAUGACUUAAGAGUCCAGUGAGAUUAUGAGUAUAACGAGAACCAGCGGGUUCGCUCGGCUCUAAGUAAGGGUCGGGUGCCCAUCAUGCCCUAUCAGGAUUGGGGUGUGACAAAGUUCUACAUUGCAGCUUCUUACUUUUUUGCAGCAAAACACCUAUGGUAUUGAUUUCUGAAAAUUCAAGAAAUUAGUAGAA
Long non-coding RNA from Lycium barbarum (goji berry), 828 nucleotides. RefSeq lists it as uncharacterized. NCBI's taxonomy places the organism in Eukaryota, Viridiplantae, Streptophyta, Magnoliopsida, Solanales, Solanaceae. The record is from RefSeq and is a predicted model, not a curated record. The transcript is spliced from 3 exons.